RNAcentral lists this long non-coding RNA (338 nucleotides) under Salmo salar (Atlantic salmon). RNAcentral's name for it is "lncRNA (ENSSSAG00000097926.1)". The record is from RNAcentral. Lineage: Eukaryota; Metazoa; Chordata; Actinopteri; Salmoniformes; Salmonidae.
CUGUAGUAGGGUCCACAUAGAUACUAGUCAUGCUGGUGUAGUCUAUAGCUGAGCUGGUUAAACUGUAGUAGGGUCCACAUAGAUACUAGUCAUGCUGGUGUAGUCUAUAGCUGAGCUGGUUAAACUGUAGUGGGGUCCACAUAGAUACUAGUCAUGCUGAUACUAGUCAUGCUGGUGUAGUCUAUAGCUGAGCUGGUUAAACUGUAGUAGGGUCCACAUAGAUACUAGUCAUGCUGGUGUAGUCUAUAGCUGAGCUGGUUAAACUGUAGUAGGGUCCACAUAGAUACUAGUCAUGCUGGUGUAGUCUAUAGCUGAGCUGGUUAAACUGUAGUAGGGUC